UGUUCCUUUUUCUUGUAGAGAUCAUCUUGACAACUGUAACUUGGGAAGAUGAACUGAGCUAUGAUCAACCUUGAUUAAACCUGAGGCCAACCUGUUAAAUACAAAAGUUGAAAACCAAACCAGAUGAAAUAUUCAAAAAUUGUAACUUCCGUCAAUAAUCUAAAUUAAAUACCUAUCACAGGAAACAAAUCCUAGGCAGCUUUCAAGAGAAUUGGAUGAAAUAUUGGUAUAAUAGCCUGGCUCUGGGUUUAGGUCCCAGUGCUUUCAGCAGAAAGAAUCACUUUCUCCCUGCCAGUUGGUUAGGAAAGGUUCCAUGCUGGAGGGAAUCCCAGAUGUCAACAGGGGAGAAGCUCUGUCACUUGAGAGAGGUGAGGUGGUGCGGGGAAGAAGUCAAAGGCAGGUGGGAGGAACUCAAUAACAAGUACUAGCAUUUCCCAGAGCCAUAAAGUGCUUGUCCACUUGCAUUGAGAAACUGAUAAGUUGACCCUCCUCCUCACAUCAUUCAUAUGUUCUAGAAAUCCUACUUCUUCCAUGAGACCUUCCUACAACACAUUCAGUCAAGCCUAAACUCUUCCCCUUUGUCAGUGGCUUUAGAUUGGAUAUGUUAAAUUUUCUUUCUCCACCUAAAUUUGUAUUAACCCCUGACACCUAUUUCCAUUGUAAUGGUUUAGUAAAUUAUGCCUUCUAUGUCCCUUCAUCAAGCAGAUGAGAGACAUCUCA
This 720-nucleotide long non-coding RNA is filed under the name Marmota monax (woodchuck). Lineage: Eukaryota; Metazoa; Chordata; Mammalia; Rodentia; Sciuridae. The record is from RNAcentral.